UACAGAGGGUGCAAGCGUUGUUCGGAAUUAUUGGGCGUAAAGGGCGCGUAGGCGGUGCGGUAAGUCUGCAGUGAAAUCUCUGGGCUCAACUCAGAGUCUGCUGUAGAAACUGCCGUGCUUUGAGUGUGGGAGAGGUGAGUGGAAUUCCCGGUGUAGCGGUAGAAAUGCGUAGAUAUCGGGAGGAACACCUGGUGGCGAAAGCGGCUCACUGGACCACAACUGACGCUGAGGCGCGAAAGCUAGGGGAGCAAACAGGG
Molecule: ribosomal RNA, 257 nt
Filed under: uncultured bacterium
Lineage: Bacteria
Description: partial 16S ribosomal RNA
Rfam family: Bacterial small subunit ribosomal RNA
Source: RNAcentral